Molecule: ribosomal RNA, 218 nt
Filed under: uncultured bacterium
Lineage: Bacteria
Description: partial 16S ribosomal RNA
Rfam family: Bacterial small subunit ribosomal RNA
Source: RNAcentral
ACGCUCGACACCUACGAGAGGCAGCAGUGAGGAAUAUUGGUCAAUGGGCGCUAGCCUGAACCAGCCAAGUAGCGUGAAGGAUGAAGGCUCUAUGGGUCGUAAACUUCUUUUAUAUAAGAAUAAAGUGCAGUAUGUAUACUGUUUUGUAUGUAUUAUAUGAAUAAGGAUCGGCUAACUCCGUGCCAGCAGCCGAGGUAAUCUGAGCGGGCUGGCAAGGC